Non-coding RNA from Delphinapterus leucas (beluga whale), 417 nucleotides. NCBI's taxonomy places the organism in Eukaryota, Metazoa, Chordata, Mammalia, Artiodactyla, Monodontidae. The record is from RefSeq and is a predicted model, not a curated record.
CUGAUGUCCCAGCUCAAAGACAGUCAGCCGGAGUUUCAUCAUGUGGCAAACUGAUUCACCUGCCUCAAAAGACUGCUGCAGAGUCUAAAGAAGAUAAUAUGGAAAUAUAUAGUGUUGCGCUCAGUACAGAGAAGAUGCUCAACAGAUGUUGGUCUAAUACGGCCUCGUGACACAGUGAGAAAAACUGAAUAUUGUCACACAUACCUUAAGUUUGGGCAAAGGAUUUGAGAAGGAUGAACCUUCAGACAUAGAGCAAGUCAUGGAUUAAGUACCAAGGUAAGAUUAGAACGGACGGGGGCAAGUUAUCAGCUUCCAGAUGGCAUAGAAACCACCUUUCCUUCACAGCUCACUCAGCCCCAAUGCUCUGAGCAUGCCCUGUUACAUCUUGCUAUUGGUAAAGCUGCAUGUUAACUUCAA